Molecule: small RNA, 139 nt
Filed under: Marmota monax (woodchuck)
Lineage: Eukaryota; Metazoa; Chordata; Mammalia; Rodentia; Sciuridae
Source: RNAcentral
GCUGGGUGUGGUGGUGCAUGCCUGUAAUCCCAGCGGCUCAGGAGGCUGAGGCAGGAGGAUGGUGAGUGUGGAUGAAUGAAGUCACCUUUCUUUCCACAGCAGCCAAGAUGCUAUAUGUUCUAGACUCUGCCUGCCUCCU